GGCUCCCAGGAAUGAAACGCCUGGGCCGGGCGUUGCUUUAACACAUGCAGUUCGAACCGGGUGAAGCCAAGCCUUGCCUUUGGGUGGAAUCCAGUGGCCGAACGGGUGGAGUUAACCACGUGAAGCAAACCUUGCCUGGACCUCUGGGGAAUAAAGGCCGCUGGGAAACGGGCGUCCUAAUACUGGAAUAUGAGCUCCUUCCGCAUGGUGGGGGGUUGGAAAAGAUUUUUCGGUCUGGGAUGGGCUCGCGGCCUAUCAGCUUGUUGGUGAGGUAAUGGCUCACCAAGGCGUCGACGGGUAGCCGGCCUGAGAGGGUGACCGGCCACACUGGGACUGAGACACGGCCCAGACUCCUACGGGAGGCAGCAGUGGGGAAUAUUGCACAAUGGGCGGAAGCCUGAUGCAGCAACGCCGCGUGAGGGAUGACGGCCUUCGGGUUGUAAACCUCUUUUAGCAGGGAAGAAGCGAAAGUGACGGUACCUGCAGAAAAAGCGCCGGCUAACUACGUGCCAGCAGCCGCGGUAAUACGUAGGGCGCAAGCGUUAUCCGGAAUUAUUGGGCGUAAAGAGCUCGUAGGCGGUUUGUCGCGUCUGCUGUGAAAUCCCGAGGCUCAACCUCGGGCCUGCAGUGGGUACGGGCAGACUAGAGUGCGGUAGGGGAGAUUGGAAUUCCUGGUGUAGCGGUGGAAUGCGCAGAUAUCAGGAGGAACACCGAUGGCGAAGGCAGAUCUCUGGGCCGUAACUGACGCUGAGGAGCGAAAGGGUGGGGAGCAAACAGGCUUAGAUACCCUGGUAGUCCACCCCGUAAACGUUGGGAACUAGUUGUGGGGACCAUUCCACGGUUUCCGUGACGCAGCUAACGCAUUAAGUUCCCCGCCUGGGGAGUACGGCCGCAAGGCUAAAACUCAAAGGAAUUGACGGGGACCCGCACAAGCGGCGGAAGCAUGCGGAUAAUUCGAUGCAACGCGAAAGAACCUUACCAAGGCUUGACCAUAUACGAGAAGGGCCCAGAAAUGGUCAACUCUUUGACACUCGUAAACAGGUGGUGCAUGGUUGUCGUCAGCUCGUGUCGUGAGAUGUUGGGUUAAGUCCCGCAACGAGCGCAACCCUCGUUCUAUGUUGCCAGCACGUAAUGGUGGGAACUCAUGGGAUACUGCCGGGGUCAACUCGGAGGAAGGUGGGGAUGACGUCAAAUCAUCAUGCCCCUUAUGUCUUGGGCUUCACGCAUGCUACAAUGGCCGGUACAAAGGGCUGCAAUACCGUAAGGUGGAGCGAAUCCCAAAAAGCCGGUCCCAGUUCGGAUUGAGGUCUGCAACUCGACCUCAUGAAGUCGGAGUCGCUAGUAAUCGCAGAUCAGCAACGCUGCGGUGAAUACGUUCCCGGGUCUUGUACACACCGCCCGUCUUUGUCAUGAAAGUCGGUAACACCUGAAGCCGGUGGCCCAACCCUUGUGGAGGGAGCCGUCGAAGGGUUAAAAG
This 1477-nucleotide ribosomal RNA is filed under the name Microbacterium assamensis. RNAcentral's name for it is "16S ribosomal RNA". It matches the Rfam family "Bacterial small subunit ribosomal RNA". Lineage: Bacteria; Bacillati; Actinomycetota; Actinomycetes; Micrococcales; Microbacteriaceae. The record is from RNAcentral.